This 1344-nucleotide ribosomal RNA is filed under the name uncultured organism. RNAcentral describes it as "bacterial SSU rRNA". It matches the Rfam family "Bacterial small subunit ribosomal RNA", at positions 73 to 1426 of the family's 1533-position model. The record is from RNAcentral.
ACCGGCUUCGGCCGGGAGUAGAGUGGCGAACGGGCGAGGAAUGCGUUUCUAACGUGCCCCAAGGUCGAGGAUAGCUCGGGGAAACCCGGGGUAAUACUCGAUGACCCCCAUGGAUCGCAUGGUUCGUGGGGCAAAGGCUUGCUGCCUUGGGAUCGGGAAACGCCCUAUCAGGUUGUUGGUGAGGUAACGGCUCACCAAGCCUAAGACGGGUAGCGGGUGUGAGAGCAUGACCCGCCGCAUCGGGACUGAGACACUGCCCGGACUCCUACGGGAGGCUGCAGCAACGGAUAUUGGGCAAUGAGCGAAAGCUUGACCCAGCAAUGCCGCGUGCAGGAGGAAGCCCCUCGGGGUGUAAACUGCUGUCAGGGUUUAGGAAGUUCUGACCAAACCCAAAGGAAGGGCCGGCUAACUUCGUGCCAGCAGCCGCGGUAAUACGAAGGGCCCAAGCGUUAAUCGGAAUCACUGGGCUUAAAGGGUGCGCAGGCGGAAUGGUCAGUGUCUUGUGAAAUCCCACGGCUCAACCGUGGAACUGCAGGGCAUACUGCCAUUCUUGAGGCCGGUAGAGGCCGCCGGAACUCUAGGUGUAGCGGUGAAAUGCGUAGAUAUCUAGAGGAACGCCAAAGACGAAGGUAGGCGGCUGGGCCGGGUUCUGACGCUCAGGCACGAACGCGUGGGGAGCAAACAGGAUUAGAUACCCUGGUAGUCCACGCCGUAAACGUUGUGCACUAGGUGCUGGAGGUUCUGACACCAUCAGCGCCGAAGCGAAAGUGAUUAGUGCACCGCCUGGGGAGUACGGUCGCAAGGCUAAAACUCAAAGGAAUUGACGGGGGCUCACACAAGCGGUGGAGCAUGUGGCUUAAUUCGAGGCAACGCGAAGAACCUUAUCCUGGGCUUGACAUGCAUGGAUUAACGCUGGGAAACCAGCGCCACACUCUUUGAGUGGAACAUGCACAGGUGCUGCAUGGCUGUCGUCAGCUCGUGCUGUGAAGUGUUGGGUUAAGUCCCUUAACGAGCGAAACCCCUGUCGCUAGUUACCAUCAGGUAAUGCUGGGGACUCUAGCGAGACUGCCGGUGUCAAACCGGAGGAAGGCGGGGAUGACGUCAAGUCCUCAUGGCCUUUAUGCCCAGGGCUGCACACGUGCUACAAUGGCGCCGACAGAGUGAAGCAAAACCGCGAGGUAGAGCAAAUCGCAAAAAAGGUGCCCCAGUUCGGAUUGCAGUCUGCAACUCGACUGCAUGAAGCUGGAAUCGCUAGUAAUCGCGUAUCAGCAACGACGCGGUGAAUACGUUCCUGAGCCUUGUACACACCGCCCGUCAAGUCAUGGAAGCCGGGAGUACCCGAAG